RNAcentral lists this ribosomal RNA (274 nucleotides) under uncultured bacterium. Its description in RNAcentral is "partial 16S ribosomal RNA". It matches the Rfam family "Bacterial small subunit ribosomal RNA", at positions 523 to 796 of the family's 1533-position model. The record is from RNAcentral.
AUACGGAGGGUCCGAACGUUAAUCGGAAUUACUGGGCGUAAAGCGCGCGCAGGCGGUUUGGUAAGUGGGAUGUGAAAGCCCCGGGCUCAACCUGGGAAUUGCAUUCCAAACUGCCGGACUAGAGUAUGGUAGAGGGAGGUAGAAUUUCCUGUGUAGCGGUGAAAUGCGUAGAUAUAGGAAGGAAUACCGGUGGCGAAGGCGGCCUCCUGGACCAAUACUGACGCUGAGGUGCGAAAGCGUGGGGAGCAAACAGGAUUAGAAACCCCGGUAGUCC